UUGUCUCAAAGAUUAAGCCAUGCAUGUCUCAGUACAAGCCGAAUUAAGGUGAAACCGCGAAAGGCUCAUUAAAUCAGUUAUGGUUCCUUAGAUCGUACCCACAUUUACUUGGAUAACUGUGGUAAUUCUAGAGCUAAUACAUGCAAACAGAGCUCCGACCGGAGACGGAAGGAGCGCUUUUAUUAGAUCAAAACCAAUCGGUGUCGAUUUACGUCGUCAUCGUAAAACUUGGUGACUCUGAAUAACUUUCAGCUGAUCGCACGGUCUCGCACCGGCGACGCAUCUUUCAAAUGUCUGCCUUAUCAACUGUCGAUGGUAGGUUCUGCGCCUACCAUGGUUGUAACGGGUAACGGGGAAUCAGGGUUCGAUUCCGGAGAGGGAGCCUGAGAAACGGCUACCACAUCCAAGGAAGGCAGCAGGCGCGCAAAUUACCCACUCCCGGCACGGGGAGGUAGUGACGAAAAAUAACGAUACGGGACUCAUCCGAGGCCCCGUAAUCGGAAUGAGUACACUCUAAACCCUUUAACGAGGAUCAAUUGGAGGG
This 544-nucleotide ribosomal RNA is filed under the name Callismilax auripennis. RNAcentral describes it as "SSU rRNA". It matches the Rfam family "Eukaryotic small subunit ribosomal RNA", at positions 32 to 555 of the family's 1831-position model. Lineage: Eukaryota; Metazoa; Arthropoda; Insecta; Coleoptera; Tenebrionidae. The record is from RNAcentral.